GAUAUACAUGGAAGCCGAAUGUUGUAUA
RNAcentral lists this non-coding RNA (28 nucleotides) under Cricetulus griseus (Chinese hamster). Lineage: Eukaryota; Metazoa; Chordata; Mammalia; Rodentia; Cricetidae. The record is from RNAcentral.